Molecule: ribosomal RNA, 447 nt
Filed under: uncultured bacterium
Lineage: Bacteria
Description: bacterial SSU rRNA
Rfam family: Bacterial small subunit ribosomal RNA
Source: RNAcentral
UCGGGAAUUUUGUGCAAUGGGCGAAAGCCUGACACAGCAACGCCGCGUGAAGGAUGAAGUCCCUCGGGAUGUAAACUUCGUAAGAAUAGGAAGAAUAAAUGACGGUACUAUUUGUAAGGUCCGGCUAACUACGUGCCAGCAGCCGCGGUAAUACGUAGGGACCAAGCGUUGUUCGGAUUUACUGGGCGUAAAGCGUGCGCAGGCGGCUUUGCAAGACAGAUGUGAAAUCCCCGGGCUCAACCUGGGAACUGCAUUUGUGACUGCAAGGCUAGAGUACGGUAGAGGGGGAUGGAAUUCCGCGUGUAGCAGUGAAAUGCGUAGAUAUGCGGAGGAACACCGAUGGCGAAGGCAAUCCCCUGGACCUGUACUGACGCUCAUGCACGAAAGCGUGGGGAGCAAACAGGAUUAGAUACCCUUGUAGUCCCUGAGCGGGCUGGCAAGGCGCAU